GGAGAGGUGGCAGAGUGGUCGAUUGCAUCGGUCUUGAAAACCGAAGUGCCCACCCGGGCACCGGGGGUUCGAAUCCCCCCCUCUCCG
This 87-nucleotide transfer RNA is filed under the name Puniceicoccales bacterium. RNAcentral's name for it is "tRNA-Ser". It matches the Rfam family "tRNA". Rfam says of the family: Transfer RNA (tRNA) molecules are approximately 80 nucleotides in length. The record is from RNAcentral. Lineage: Bacteria; Pseudomonadati; Verrucomicrobiota; Opitutia; Puniceicoccales.